UACGGAGGGUGCAAACGUUGCUCGGAAUCAUUGGGCGUAAAGCGCACGUAGGCGGUCGGCUAUGUCGGAUGUGAAAGCCUCGGGCUUAACCCGAGAAGGGCAUCCGAAACUGGCCGGCUUGAGUACGGAAGAGGGUCUCGGAAUUCCCGGUGUUGAGGUGAAAUUCGUAGAUAUCGGGAGGAACACCAGUGGCGAAGGCGGAGACCUGGGCCGAUACUGACGCCGAGGUGCGAAAGCGUGGGGAGCAAACAGG
This 253-nucleotide ribosomal RNA is filed under the name uncultured bacterium. Its description in RNAcentral is "partial 16S ribosomal RNA". It matches the Rfam family "Bacterial small subunit ribosomal RNA", at positions 524 to 776 of the family's 1533-position model. The record is from RNAcentral.